Molecule: long non-coding RNA, 4226 nt
Organism: Orcinus orca (killer whale)
Lineage: Eukaryota; Metazoa; Chordata; Mammalia; Artiodactyla; Delphinidae
Exons: 2
Source: RefSeq, a predicted model, not a curated record
UUAAAGCACCAAGUAAAUAGUAGUUUUUAUUAUAUCAUCCGUAUAUACUCCUUUCUCCUCUCCAGAAAUUUCAAAGCAGAAUUCUCAGACAAUCCUACAUUCUCUAGACAAGUGUAAUUCUCUUUAUUCUAGACAGACAGACACAUAGACACACACUCCUAGAACUCACAAGAUUUUCCAUAAUUAGGUGGGGGAAAGGUGACAGGAAAAAGACAUCUUGAAAGUCCUGUUCUCUCUUUGCUCUGUGGACUUGUUCCUGAUAUUUCCAAUGCCCUGAAAUAAUUCACGUUUCUAUUUACCUAACUAGUGCUUAAUCAAUCUUCUGAGUUCAAAAUUGAAAAUAUCUUCUGAGUUCUGCUUAGAGGACUCUGCCGAGUCUAGGUUAGGCACCUCUCUUAUAAAAGAGCAUCUCUUUUUGUUUUUUGCAGUACGCGGGCCUCUCACUGUUGUGGCCUCUCCCAUUGCAGAGCACAGGCUCCGGGGCCGUGGCUCACAGGCCCAGCUGCUCCGCGGCAUGUGGGAUCCUCCCGGACUGGGGCAUGAGCCUGUGUCCCCUGCAUCGGCAGGCAGACUCCCAACCACUGCGCCACCAGGGAAGCCCAAAGCAUCUCUCUUAUAAAAUCCUGGUAGAGGGCCCUUAAACAAGGAAUUGAUAUUGCUUUUUUUUAAAAUUUAAUUAACUUAUCUAUUUCUGGCUCUGUUGGAUCUUUGUUGCUGAGUACGGGCUUUCUCUAGUUGCAGCGAGGGGCGGGGGCUGCUCUUCAUUGCGGUGCGCGUGCUUCUUAUUGCGGUGGCUUCUCUUGUUGCAGAGCAUGGGCUAUAGGCAUGCGGGCCUCAGUAGUUGCAGCAUGCAGGUUCAGUAGUUGUGGCUCAAGGGCUCCAGAGAAAAGGCUCAGUAGUUGUGGCACAUGGGCUUAGUUGCUCUGUGUCAUGUGGGAUCUUCCUGGACCAGGGAAUUGAACCCAUGCCCCUGCAUUGGCAGGCAGAUUCUGCCAAUUGAGCCACCAGGGAAGUCCAAAAUUGCUUUUUGACUUGUCAGUCUUCCCAACUGUACUAUAAGGUCUUUGAGGGCACAGGCCAUGUCAUUCCUUUUCACCAGCAUCUAGCACAGUCUUGACACAUGCUAAGUGCUUAAAGACAUGAGGUAAAAGAAAAAAUGGAAGAAAGGAAGGGUGGAAAGGAUGAAAAGAGAGACAGAGGCAAGAAAGAAAGGAGGAAAGAAAUAAAAGGUUAUUUUUAUUUUCAUUCUUCCCUGAAAGGAAUGUUCAAAGAACAAGACAGUUACUACAGCAUCAUUAAAACUCAUUUCCACCCAAAUCUACAUUUUGCAUCAAAUCCCAUGUCAGUGUGUUCUCUUCCUCUCAUCAGAGUAAUAGGGUGUUUUUAAAAUGUCAACUCAGCAUAAAACCUAUUUGGGGCAAAAUGGACUCCAGGGAGAUUGACUGAAAUUCCCAUUCUUCUCCUCCUGGUUCUCCUUCUGCUUCCUGUUCAUUUUAGCAAAAAGCUCUGAUCUGUUAAAAAAAAAAAAAAAAAAAGGUUGCGGUAGGGAGCCUCUAGCAAGAGACACAUAUAGAACAUGUGUCUCAUCUGCUUUUUAACAUUAAGUACAGGAAAUUUUCAGCUUCAUUCAUUUAAAAUACUUACUUGUGCUUCACAUUUAUGGCUAGGUAUUAGAGAUGAGAAGCCCAGAUCUGGUUAGUAAUGGGGGAAAAAGUUUAGAAAUAGAGCCAUAGAAAAAGAAAGAUGAUCCAAUGGAAAGUAGAAAUAGAAGUCAUCGUCUUAGAGUAAUAUUUGUUCAGAGCUCUUCAGCUGUUUUAAUCCUAAACUCUAAAUGCUCCCUCUGAGCAUGAACAGGAGAACAAUCUAAAUGAUUUUCAGGUAUGCGCUGGUACUGAGGUGUGGGACUGGAGUGAUAUCCCUCUGGAAUUUGAUGAAAUCAAGUUGAAAUUAAGAUAUGGUUAUCAAACCAGCAAUUCACAUUUUUGGCUAAGGGGAUGUUAAUCAAUAACAUAAAGUAACAGGCUUCACUGUUCUUAAUUUGACAAGUAUUAGAUAAGACUUCUCUGUGCUGCCUUUCUAUUCUAAUUUUUUUAAAUAAGCAUCUUCAAAACUGAUACAAAGAAUUCAAAGAAAAAGGAGUAGCAAAAACAGUUGGGGAAAAAAGGAAGAACUCAGCAAUUUUAAUUGUCCACAUGGGUCAUAAAAAUGGAAUUUUCUAAGGGACAGCUAUCCAGUGCAUUGGCCACAAAAUACACAGAUAUCCCUAGUGAUGCUCUGUCAACGUACAUUAACUUUUGCUGUAUAGGUGGACUCAGUUCUCUUCACAUACUUACUUCUCUGGUGUGUGCCUGGUAAACAGAAGUCUCUCAACAAAUGUUAGUAAAUGAAUAAACACAAGAUUGAAUUAGUGAUCUGCUUAUUUAUCAUUAGGGCCAGGGCUGUUGCUGAAUCCACAAUUUGUACUCAUAGUUGAUUCCUCUGAUAGAGGUAAAACUUAAUGAAGACAGCCUCACAGAGGAGGAGAGGCAGUUCCUGCCUGCUACCUGACAAGCUAAGCCACUUGUCUAAAACAAUUCUACAGCAACAAGUGCCCAGUGGGCAGGGAAGACAGACGUACAGAUGGCUGCCUGGAUGCAUCACGGGACGGAAUUGCCACUACAGCCCAUUGUUACAUUUAUUGCUGACAGUGUAAUUAAUUGGCUGACUCCUUGUUUUUCAAUUGGUCACCCUCAAUGGACAGCUGCACUGGGGGUUGUACUAAUCGUGCCUGGGAUGAGAGUAUGCUCCGCGGGUGGGCCCAGCUCUGCAGCAGGGGCUUUGUGACGUCAACCCUGGACUGCUGUACAGAAGCACGCGCUUCACCCUCCCAGGGCCCUGAACAGGCGUCCUCAUGCCCAGGAAACACAGCAUUUUUUUUUCUGAGUGUUCCUCUUUCUGAAGUAUGAUACAAUGGAAACAAAACAAAACACUUCUUAGUUUCCUUUUCCAAUAAGAAUUUCUUAAAUAUAGACUGAAAUAUCAGCUUUAAUAAUCACUGUAGAAAAAGAUUACAGUAACUUCGUUAGAUUUUAUCCAAAUUAUCAAGUAAAAAGAGAAGCUAGAGUUCAUGUGGAGGCAUCAGAAAGCUCUUUUAACUCAUCUCUGUGUCCAGCAAUCAUGUAUAUAUUUUGAUUUUUAUACUGUGGAAAAUGAUCUUUAUUUUGUGUACAGUAUGAUGAGGAUUAAAUAACACUCACAGGAUAUUUUCAUCAAAGAAUUCUAAGGGAAUUUUUACAGUGAGAAAGCCUCAUAUAUCAAGCACAGGUUCAUCAGGUAAUAACACAAGACUGGAGUCAUGGCUCAGGCAACAAUCUUUCCACUGGUCUCCUGCCCCUCUUUCUUCACCUGUAAAAUGAGUCAUUGCACUUCAGUGACCUUACUUCCACCUGACUAACUUCCAGAAAGUCAUGUGGCAGCUCUGUUCCCUAGGGUUUAAUCUGUAAAAUCAGAGAACUGAACUCAGUGGAUCUCUAACAUUCUGUGACCUUACCUGGAUAUUGAGGCAAAUAGAAAUUUCAAUAUAUUCCACAAAUUAAUAAAAAUAUGUGCAUAUACAUUAUAAGGGCAUGCAUUAACUAAAAAUGCAAGUAAUUCUUGACUUCUUUUUUAAUCACAAAUAUCAGUGUCCAUGAUUUGACAGCUUGCUUAUGAAAAAGUCCCUUACAUGUUCCUUUUUCUGGUUUGCUAAUUUUCCAUUCUGUAUUCCAAGGCAGGCCAAUAAUUGCAAUGAAAUCAGGUUAAACAUUGAUCUUCCACCCUGACAUUGCAUUAACUUUUCUAAUAAACAUCUUCACUGUGUCAACCAGCACUGUGUUUACAUAUUGAGCCCAGCAACCAAUUGUCUUGCUUCUUUUAGAUGCUUUUGAAUUCUGGAAGAAAUCUUCUCUGAAAGACUAGAAUCGUGCAUCUGCCGUGCCUUUCAAUUUUGUAUUUCGGAUUAACUGCUCCUUUUCCUCCACGUUCUGAAGGCCUUCUAAGACAUUUCCUUCCCAGUUCAUCUGAGAAGCCUUCAGACCUGAAAUAUACCAAAGGCUGCAAUGGGGCGGUAUGGGAAGUGGAUGGUGAAAUUUUCUUGUAAGUAUUACUUUUCUUUUUCAGUUCAUAUAUUUUGAAUUCUUAAAAAAAUAGAUAUAAAAUGCUUUAUUACAUUUCUAUUAUAGUCUCAAUUGUAAAAAUAAAUACCCAAA